CUGCAAUUAUAUCCAACCAAGUACAUGGAUCGGAAGAUAUGGCUAAGGAAUUAUGCAAGAUACUUUGGAAUUACAGUGAUCACCACUGUGAAUAUUGUGUUGUUGAAGAUAUGAGCCAAGCAUCUCUUAACGAUGAAGAAUUCCCUGCAGAAUUCUUUGAUUCAAAAAUGGAGAAAUGAUGGUGAUUGAAGUAGCCCUUUAUCACUACUUUAAUAAAGAA
This 220-nucleotide long non-coding RNA is filed under the name Olea europaea (common olive). Its description in RNAcentral is "long non-coding RNA (OEUR_LNC001864)". Lineage: Eukaryota; Viridiplantae; Streptophyta; Magnoliopsida; Lamiales; Oleaceae. The record is from RNAcentral.